Molecule: ribosomal RNA, 603 nt
Filed under: Bacillus subtilis
Lineage: Bacteria; Bacillati; Bacillota; Bacilli; Caryophanales; Bacillaceae
Description: bacterial SSU rRNA
Rfam family: Bacterial small subunit ribosomal RNA
Source: RNAcentral
GGGCGUAGAGGGCUCGCAGGCGGUUUUUUAAGUCUGAGGUGAAAGCCCCCGGCUUAACCGGGGAGGGUCAUUGGAAACUGGGGAACUUGAGUGCAGAAGAGGAGAGUGGAAUUCCACGUGUAGCGGUGAAAUGCGUAGAGAUGUGGAGGAACACCAGUGGCGAAGGCGACUCUCUGGUCUGUAACUGACGCUGAGGAGCGAAAGCGUGGGGAGCGAACAGGAUUAGAUACCCUGGUAGUCCACGCCGUAAACGAUGAGUGCUAAGUGUUAGGGGGUUUCCGCCCCUUAGUGCUGCAGCUAACGCAUUAAGCACUCCGCCUGGGGAGUACGGUCGCAAGACUGAAACUCAAAGGAAUUGACGGGGGCCCGCACAAGCGGUGGAGCAUGUGGUUUAAUUCGAAGCAACGCGAAGAACCUUACCAGGUCUUGACAUCCUCUGACAAUCCUAGAGAUAGGACGUCCCCUUCGGGGGCAGAGUGACAGGUGGUGCAUGGUUGUCGUCAGCUCGUGUCGUGAGAUGUUGGGUUAAGUCCCCGCACGAGCGCAACCCUUGAUCUUAGUUGCCAGCAUUCAGUUGGGCACUCUAAGGUGACUGCCGGUGAC